This 31-nucleotide non-coding RNA is filed under the name Rattus norvegicus (Norway rat). Lineage: Eukaryota; Metazoa; Chordata; Mammalia; Rodentia; Muridae. The record is from RNAcentral.
UCUUUCCUAGCUUUUGGUGGCUGCUAGUAGU